AUUGGGAACUAUUUGCUUCUCUUUAAUUUUUGGAGAAGUCAAGAAAUUUUUAGAAUUAGUUUAUACAAUAAUAUUUUAUGUGUUUACUCCAUUGAUACCCUGUGGUAUUUGGAAUUUGGGCUGUAUUCCUUGGGGACUCAACUUACUGGUGGGGAUAAAAGAUCAUCAUCUGGAAAUAAUGCAAAGGCAAGUGAGGAUAUAUUUAUAUAAACACACACUAACAGAGAUGAUCAUACAUCUGCAUCACCAAAGUGCAAAAAAGUUAAUUCAAACUCAUACAACAAAGAGCAGAAAAAAGAAAAAAGAUACAGCAUCUGCUUCUCUAAUCUCCCUAUGUGAUAGCUUCAUGGACUAGCUCUACAAAAGAGCAACAUCCAUGCAACUGGCUUCAGUAAAGGAGGAUUUGAGACCAUCUCAAACCAGAAACAUAAUUUGGUUUUGGUGGCGGUGAUGGGAGAUUUACCUGGAAUUCAACUCAGGAGCACUAAACCACUUGCCACGUCCCCAGCCCUAUUUUGUAUUUUAUUUAGAGAUAGGGUCUCACUGAGUUACUUAGCACCUUAUGUUUUUUGCUGAGGCUGACUUUGAACUGGAGAUCCUCCUGCCUCAGCCUUCUAACUCACUAGAAUUUUAGGCAUAUGUCACCAUGCCCAGCUAAAAAAGAUACUUAGCAAAAUGAAAUUAAACCUUUGUCUCUAACCCUACACAAAAAUCAACUCAGAGUGAAUCAAAGACUUAAGCACUAGAACAGAGAUCCUGCACCUAAUAGAAGGAAAAGUAGGCCCAAAUCUUCACCAUGUUGGCCUAGAAUCUGACUUCCUUAAUAAUACCCCUAAAGUGUAAGAAGUAAAAUCAAGAAUCAAUAAAUGGGAUGGAUUCAAAUUAAAAAGCUUCUUCUCAGCAAAAGAAACAAUUAGUAUCGUGAUUAGAGAGCCUACGGAUUAGGAGAAAAUCUUAACCACAUGCACCUCCAAUAAAGCAUCAAUCUCUACGAUUAUAAAAAACUCAAAAAACUUAAUGCCAAAACACCAAAUAACCCAAUCAAUAAAUGGACCAAGGAACUGAACAGACACUUCACAGAAAAAGAAAUACAAUUGAUCAACAAAUACAUAAAAAGUUCAACGACUCUAGCAACUAGAGAAAUGCAAAUCAAAACUACUCUAAGAUUUCAUCUCACUCUUGUCAGAAUGGAAAUCAUCAAGAAUACAGGCAACAAUAAAUUUUGGCCAGGAUGUGGGAAGAAAGGUACACUCCUAUAUUGCUGGUGGGACUGCAAAUUAGUGCAACCACUAUGGGAAGCAGUUUGGAUAUUCCUCAGAAAACUGGGAAUGGAACCACCAUUUGAUCCAUCUACCCCAUUCCGUAGUUUAUACCCAAAGGACUUAAAAUCAGCAUACUGUAGUGACGCAGCCAUAUCAAUGUUUAUAGCAGCUCAAUUCAUAAUAGCUAAACUAUGGAACCUACCUAGGUGUUGCUCAAUAGAUGAAUGGAUAAAGACAAUGUGGUAUAUAUAACUCAAUGGAAUAUUACUCAGCUUUAAAGGAAAGUAAAAUUAUGGCAUUUGCCAGUAAAUGGAUGGAGUUGGAAAAUAUCAUGCUAAACAAAAUAAGCC
Molecule: long non-coding RNA, 1612 nt
Filed under: Marmota monax (woodchuck)
Lineage: Eukaryota; Metazoa; Chordata; Mammalia; Rodentia; Sciuridae
Source: RNAcentral